Molecule: ribosomal RNA, 484 nt
Filed under: uncultured bacterium
Lineage: Bacteria
Description: partial 16S ribosomal RNA
Rfam family: Bacterial small subunit ribosomal RNA
Source: RNAcentral
AUUGAACGCUGGCGGCAGGCCUAACACAUGCAAGUCGAGCGGAUGAAGGGAGCUUGCUCCUGGAUUCAGCGGCGGACGGGUGAGUAAUGCCUAGGAAUCUGCCUGGUAGUGGGGGAUAACGUCCGGAAACGGGGCCAAUUACGCAAAUCCCCCUUAGGAGGAAAGGGGGGAACCUGGGAACCUUCGGCCUUAGCACAACCCUAGGUCGGAUUAGCUAGUUGGUGGGGUAAAGGCCUACCAAGGCGACGAUCCGUAACUGGUCUGAGAGGAUGAUCAGUCACACUGGAACUGAGACACGGUCCAGACUCCUACGGGAGGCAGCAGUGGGGAAUAUUGGACAAUGGGCGAAAGCCUGAUCCAGCCAUGCCGCGUGUGUGAAGAAGGUCUUCGGAUUGUAAAGCACUUUAAGUUGGGAGGAAGGGCAGUAAGUUAAUACCUUGCUGUUUUGACGUUACCAACAGAAUAAGCACCGGCUAACUUCGUG